GACGGGUGAGUAACACGUGGGCAACCUGCCUGUAAGACUGGGAUAACUCCGGGAAACCGGAGCUAAUACCGGAUAACAUUUUUUCUUGCAUAAGAGAAAAUUGAAGAUGGUUCGGCUAUCACUUACAGAUGGGCCCGCGGUGCAUAGCUAGUUGGUGAGGUAACGGCUCACCAAGGCAACGAUGCAUAGCCGACUGAGAGGGUGAUCGGCCACACUGGGACUGAGACACGGCCCAGACUCAUACGGGAGGCAGCAGUAGGGAAUCUUCCGCAAUGGACGAAAGUCUGACGGAGCAACGCCGCGUGAGUGAUGAAGGCUUUCGGGUCGUAAAACUCUGUUGUUAGGGAAGAACAAGUACAAGAGUAACUGCUUGUACCUUGACGGUACCUAACCAGAAAGCCACGGCUAACUACGUGCCAGCAGCCGCGGUAAUACGUAGGUGGCAAGCGUUAUCCGGAAUUAUUGGGCGUAAAGCGCGCGCAGGCGGUUUCUUAAGUCUGAUGUGAAAGCCCACGGCUCAACCGUGGAGGGUCAUUGGAAACUGGGGAACUUGAGUGCAGAAGAGAAAAGCGGAAUUCCACGUGUAGCGGUGAAAUGCGUAGAGAUGUGGAGGAACACCAGUGGCGAAGGCGGCUUUUUGGUCUGUAACUGACGCUGAGGCGCGAAAGCGUGGGGAGCAAACAGGAUUAGAUACCCUGGUAGUCCACGCCGUAACGAUGAGUGCUAAGUGUUAGAGGGUUUCCGCCCUUUAGUGCUGCAGCUAACGCAUUAAGCACUCCGCCUGGGGAGUACGGUCGCAAGACUGAAACUCAAGGAAUUGACGGGGGCCCGCACAAGCGGUGGAGCAUGUGGUUUAAUUCGAAGCAACGCGAGAACCUUACCAGGUCUUGACAUCCUCUGACAACUCUAGAGAUAGAGCGUUCCCCUUCGGGGGACAGAGUGACAGGUGGUGCAUGGUUGUCGUCAGCUCGUGUCGUGAGAUGUUGGGUUAAGUCCCGCAACGAGCGCAACCCUUGAUCUAGUUGCCAGCAUUAAGUUGGGCACUCUAAGGUGACUGCCGGUGACAACCGGAGAGGUGGGGAUGACGUCAAAUCAUCAUGCCCUUUAUGACCUGGGCUACA
RNAcentral lists this ribosomal RNA (1121 nucleotides) under Priestia flexa. RNAcentral's name for it is "bacterial SSU rRNA". It matches the Rfam family "Bacterial small subunit ribosomal RNA", at positions 100 to 1218 of the family's 1533-position model. The record is from RNAcentral. Lineage: Bacteria; Bacillati; Bacillota; Bacilli; Caryophanales; Bacillaceae.